GAUUAAAGUAACAAAGGGCACACAAGGGAUGCCUAGGUAGAAAGAGCCGAAGAAGGACGUGGUAAGCUGCGAUAAGCUUGGCGAAGUUGCAAACGAACGUGGAUGCCAAGAUCUCCGAAUGGAGCAAUCUGUAAAGAGUCAUGUCUUUACACGAAAGAGGGAACCGGGUGAACUGAAACAUCUAAGUAAUCCGAGGAAAAGAAAGUAACAACGAUACCCUAAGUAGCGGCGAGCGAACGGGGUAGAGCCUAAACCGUAUUCAUGUCAAGGAUGCAGCCGUUGUGGAUAUGGGGUAGCGGGAAAGAGAAAGAAAGAACUGCAAGCUAUUUCGCAGACGUAAGCAAAGGAACAAGAAAGAUCUGGAAAGGUCUACCGUAGAAGGUGAAAGUCCUGUAUUGGUAGUUUUCUUGCGCUGUAUCUCUUCUCCCAAGUAAUGUGGAACACGAGGAAUUCUGCAUGAAUCUGCGAGGACCAAAUCUCGUAAGGCUAAAUACUCUUUCUAACCGAUAGCGCAUAGUACCGUGAGGGAAAGGUGAAAAGAACCCCGGGAGGGGAGUGAAAGAGAACCUGAAAUUGUGUGCUUACAAGCGGUCAGAGCCACUUCGGUGGUGAUGGCGUGCCUUUUGGAGAAUGAUCCUGCGAGUUACGUUUCAUGGCGAGGUUAAGAAGAACGGAGCCGAAGGGAAACCGAGUCUGAAUAGGGCGCAAGAGUCGUGGAGCGUAGACGCGAAACCCGGUGAUCUAAGCCUGUCCAGGAUGAAGCUGUGGUAAGACACAGUGGAGGUCCUAACCCACCGCCGUUGAAAAGUUGGGGGAUGAGGUAGGUUUAGGGGUGAAAAGCCAAUCGAACCGGGAGAUAGCUCGUUCUCUCCGAAAUGCAUCUAGGUGCAGCCUUGCGUGUUUAAUGAUGGGGGUAGAGCACUGACUGAACUAGGGGGCAUAUAGCUUACUGAAUUCAAUCAAACUCCGAAUACCAUUAUUCAAGAGCGCAGGAGUGAGACCAUGGGAGUUAACUUCCAUCGUCGAAAGGGAAACAACCCAGACCACCGGCUAAGGUCCCAAAUCAUAUCUAAGUGGGAAAGGAGGUGGAGAUUCUUAAACAACUAGGAGGUUGGCUUAGAAGCAGCCAUUCCUUGAAAGAGUGCGUAAUAGCUCACUAGUCGAGAGUCUCUGCGCCGACAAUGUAACGGGGCUAAGAUAUGAACCGAAGCUGUGGAUGUCGUAAGACAUGGUAGGAGAGCGUUCUGUAGGCCGUCGAAGGAGGACUGAAAGGAACUCUGGAGGUAUCAGAAGUGAGAAUGCAGGAAUAAGUAGCGAGAAGGGGAGUGAGAAUCUCCCCCGCUGGAAGACCAAGGUUUUCAGGGUAAAGCUUGUCUUCCCUGAGUAAGCCGGGACCUAAGCCCAGGCUAGAAUGCGUAGGCGAAUGGAAAACAGAUGAAUAUUUCUGUGCCAGUUCUACUUUGUGAAGGAGGGACGCAGAAGGGUAUGCGCGCAGACGAACGGAAGAGUCUGUAGAAGCAUGUAGAGUGACUUGGUAGGCAAAUCCGCCAGGUUAGACUUAAGGUGUGACAUAUACUCGCAAGAGGAAUGCGCAAAUCCCACGCUGCCGAGAAAAGCUUCUAGCGGUAAAGUAGAAACUGCCCGUACUGGAAACCGACACAGGUGGUCAGGAUGAGAAAUCUAAAGCGGACAGGCUAACUCUCGUUAAGGAACUCUGCAAAAUGGCCCCGUAACUUCGGGAGAAGGGGUGCCUUUAGGCGUGAGUAUACAAGCGAUACAAAGCGCUUUGAGGUCGCAGUGAAGAGGCUCAAGCAACUGUUUAACAAAAACACAGGUCUAUGCGAAGCUGUAAGGCGAAGUAUAUGGGCUGACACCUGCCCAGUGCCGGAAGGUUAAGAGGAGGAGUGAGAGCUCCGAAUUGAAGCCCCGGUGAACGGCGGCCGUAACUAUAACGGUCCUAAGGUAGCGAAAUUCCUUGUCGGGUAAGUUCCGACCUGCACGAAUGGUGUAAUGAUUUGAGCGCUGUCUUGACGGGAGGCCUGGUGAAAUUGUAUUACCGGUGAAGAUACCGGUUACCUACAGUAGGACGGAAAGACCCCAUGGAGCUUUACUGUAGCUUGGUAUUGGGUUUUGGCAUGGCAUGUAUAGGAUAGUUGGGAGACUGGGAAGGAAUGGCGCUAGCUGUACCGGAGUCAUCGGUGGAAUACCAACCAUUCCCUGCUGAAAUUCUAAUCUGUACUUUGGAGGUACGGAGACAGUGCUAGGUGGGCAGUUUGACUGGGGCGGUCGCCUCCGAAAGAGUAACGGAGGCGUUCAAAGGUUCUCUCAGGUUGGAUGGAAAUCAACCGCAGAGUGCAAUGGCAAAAGAGAGCUUGACUGCAAGACUGACGGGUCGAGCAGAUGCGAAAGCAGGACAUAGUGAUCCGGCGAUUCCGAUGGAAGGGUCGUCGCUCAACGGAUAAAAGCUACCCUGGGGAUAACAGGCUGAUCCUACCCGAGAGUCCAUAUCGACGGUAGGGUUUGGCACCUCGAUGUCGGCUCAUCGCAUCCUGGGGCUGGAGAAGGUCCCAAGGGUUGGGCUGUUCGCCCAUUAAAGCGGUACGUGAGCUGGGUUCAGAACGUCGUGAGACAGUUCGGUCCCUAUCCACUGUAGGCGCAAGAAUAUUGAGAAGAUCUGUCCUUAGUACGAGAGGACCGGGAUGGACAAACCUCUGAUGUACCAGUUGUCACGCCAGUGGCACAGCUGGGUAGUCACGUUUGGCAUAGAUAACCGCUGAAAGCAUCUAAGCGGGAAACUAGCUUCAAGAUAAGUAUUCUACGAGGAAGCUUCGAGAACAGGAGCUGGAUAGGUUGGGGGUGUACGCGCAGUAAUGUGUUUAGCUGACCAAUACUAAUCGAACGAAAUUUUAAUC
RNAcentral lists this ribosomal RNA (2912 nucleotides) under Fusobacterium necrophorum subsp. funduliforme ATCC 51357. RNAcentral's name for it is "bacterial LSU rRNA". It matches the Rfam family "Bacterial large subunit ribosomal RNA". The record is from RNAcentral. Lineage: Bacteria; Fusobacteriati; Fusobacteriota; Fusobacteriia; Fusobacteriales; Fusobacteriaceae.